AUGAACGCUAGCGACAGGCCUAACACAUGCAAGUCAGGGGCGAGCACAAGGAGCAAUCUGAGGUGGCGACCGGCGCACGGGUGAGUAACACGUAUGCAACCUGCCUGUAAGCGGGGAAUAACCCGUUGAAAGACGGACUAAUACCGCAUAAUACUAAAUUAACUGCAUGGUAAUUUAUUUAAACAUUUAUGGCUUACAGAUGGGCAUGCGCAUGAUUAGCUAGUUGGAGAGGUAACGGCUCCCCAACGGCAACGAUCAUUAGGGGUUCGUGAGAGGAAGGUCCCCACCACUGGUACUGAGACACGGACCAGACUCCUACGGGAGGCAGCAGUGAGGAAUAUUGGUCAAUGGACGAGAGUCUGAACCAGCCAAGUCGCGUGCAGGAAGAAUGUCCUUAAUGGAUUGUAAGCUGCUUUUGCAGGGGAAUAAAGUGCAUCACGUGUGAUGUUUUGUAUGUACUCUGCGAAUAAGGAUCGGCUAACUCCGUGCCAGCCGCGGC
This 499-nucleotide ribosomal RNA is filed under the name uncultured bacterium. Its description in RNAcentral is "bacterial SSU rRNA". It matches the Rfam family "Bacterial small subunit ribosomal RNA", at positions 29 to 518 of the family's 1533-position model. The record is from RNAcentral.